UGAGCGGCAAAAGCUCAAAUUUGAAAUCUGGUACCUUCGGUGCCCGAGUUGUAAUUUGGAGAGGGCAACUUUGGGGCCGUUCCUUGUCUAUGUUCCUUGGAACAGGACGUCAUAGAGGGUGAGAAUCCCGUGUGGCGAGGAGUGCGGUUCUUUGUAAAGUGCCUUCGAAGAGUCGAGUUGUUUGGGAAUGCAGCUCUAAGUGGGUGGUAAAUUCCAUCUAAAGCUAAAUAUUGGCGAGAGACCGAUAGCGAACAAGUACAGUGAUGGAAAGAUGAAAAGAACUUUGAAAAGAGAGUGAAAAAGUACGUGAAAUUGUUGAAAGGGAAGGGCAUUUGAUCAGACAUGGUGUUUUGUGCCCUCUGCUCCUUGUGGGUAGGGGAAUCUCGCAUUUCACUGGGCCAGCAUCAGUUUUGGUGGCAGGAUAAAUCCAUAGGAAUGUAGCUUGCCUCGGUAAGUAUUAUAGCCUGUGGGAAUACUGCCAGCUGGGACUGAGGACUGCGACGUAAGUCAAGGAUGCUGGCAUAAUGGUUAUAUGCCGCCCGUCUUGAAACAC
RNAcentral lists this ribosomal RNA (553 nucleotides) under Saccharomyces cerevisiae (brewer's yeast). RNAcentral describes it as "LSU rRNA". It matches the Rfam family "Eukaryotic large subunit ribosomal RNA", at positions 95 to 662 of the family's 3401-position model. The record is from RNAcentral. Lineage: Eukaryota; Fungi; Ascomycota; Saccharomycetes; Saccharomycetales; Saccharomycetaceae.